Molecule: long non-coding RNA, 4882 nt
Filed under: Jatropha curcas
Lineage: Eukaryota; Viridiplantae; Streptophyta; Magnoliopsida; Malpighiales; Euphorbiaceae
Description: long non-coding RNA (JCUR_LNC002523)
Source: RNAcentral
CAGCAGUUAUCAUCAAACUAAAUAAAACAGUACUGAACUACAAAUACAAGUCUUGUUUACAAUUACAACACCACAACCGAGUUCUCUGAUUCCGUUCAUUCACUGUUCAACCAUCAUGCGCCUCAAGUCGAUCACUGAAGAUCGAACAUGAGAUAAUCCUAACUGGGAGAAGGUUAGGAUUAGGAUCCACCAAAUGUUAGGACAAUAGCUAGUUGAGUCCAUAAACAAAAACGACCAGCUCGCCAACUCAAAAGUCUAAUGGGUAAGCAGCACAAAUGGUGAAGCUGUGGUCAGAACACCCGAGGUUGCAAGUAUAUUACCUCAAAAUGCAGAAGGCCUCCAAGUCUAUUGAUUUCAAUGGCCAGUUGUUAAAAGGUGGACUUCCUUUAAAAGUUCUUGAAUUUAAACUGUAUGCCUCAGCAUUAUUCUGCAAAGAAAUUAAGCUAAUAAUAUUAGUGAGACAACAAUUUUAUAUUCAUUCACAGUUAGCAUCAACACAUUGUCCAUGGUUAAUCUAGAAGAUUUUUAAAUUACAAUUCCUCAUUCACUCAAAUAUUCCCAAAAAGAUAUUAGAGCUUGUCCAUAACUGACUCAGGUGAAAUGAUAAACUGGUAUGUGUGCAACAACUCCAACGUGGAACUACAUUUGUACCACAUUGCAAAAAGAAACCAUCAAAAUGGGGAGGAAAAUAUGAGCAAAUAAAAAUUUUCAACUCCUUAAUUUAUCUUCUUAUUUGAAACUCAGUAUUCAUCAACUUACAACCUUGACAUAAUUAUUAAUUUAACCCUAUCAUUUAUGCAUAUACAGUAGAAUAAUUGGAUUUGUUUCAUUUCUUCUUUUUUAAUGCUUCUAAAUAUUAUUUAAAUUUAUGAAAAUAUUCAUCUUCCCACGUCUCCACUUGCCUAAUUGCUUUAGCUUUUCUAUCCAGAAAUUCCGUAAGAGCCUUAGGAUCAUAAGGAGGAGGCAUUUUGCAUGGAUUUUUAUGACUGGGACACGCCACUGUAGACUCAACCAUAAACUUCUUAUGCGUACCAUUUGCUAGACAUUCCAUUUUCUCCGGACGUAGUUCCGUUGCUCCUUUUGGUAUCCUAGCUUUAAAUUUCAAGAGCUUUGCAUAUUCAUUUAGCAGAUGAAACAUAUAAUCAUACACAUAAUCCAUCUUUAAUUCCUCGUGUAUGAAGCUACUUCCAGCUUUUCCUAUUGCCUCAGCCUGCAAAAUCGUUUAAUGCUUAAAUAAGAGAAUAAUCCCUUUCGGCUGGAGGCGAUUAUGUUUAAAAAUCCCUCCAAAAUGCUGACUCCAGGAUUCUAAUCUUGCGCUUAACCAUUAAACCGAGCUAUUUCGGAGAAGGAUUAUAAGGCGAAAAAAAUGUACCUGUUGAGUGUGAUUGUUGCCCCAAUCCACUGCAAACUUCAGAGAAUUGCAUUUGGCAUCAUCCCUGAUAGGCCAGUAAUGCUUUAAUGGGACCAUUUCUCUUAUGUAGAAAUCAUAAUAACGAGGCUUCACGUACAAAUUCAUGGAAUCGCAUGCUAUUAUGUAUUUCUCGCUCACAGACCAAGCCCAUCCUUCUAUAUAGAUCUUGUAUCUGUUUUAGAAUAAUUUUUUUUUUAAAAAAAAAAAAAAUUAAUUAUCAAAUUAUAUUUAAUUUAUCCUUACCUAUGGGUGCAUUGAUCUUGAAGAUUUGAUUCGUUAUAGCCCUGUUUAGAUUGUUGCACCCAGUCCUGAAAUAUAAUAAUCAUACAAUUAAAAUUCAAAGAUCAGGAGAAUGUUGAGUUAAUUGAAAAAUGUUUUUUCUUAAAAGAAAAAAUAAUAACCUGAAUAUAUAAGCGAGUGUUCCAAUCAUUUUGGUCAGAGACAUUGCACUUGAGAAGGUCUCGCCUUCCUGGAUCAACAUAUGGGUUCCCUUUCCAAAAGGCAUAGGGUACCCUAUCCUUCCAUUUGGUCCUGUUAUUACCUUUUCUUAUGUCCUUCAAUACAUGGUCCCAUGGCCUUAUAUUGAUCUCAGCCCUAACCAAUAAGCAACAAACUAUCAACUAUAUAAUUAUAUAGUUGGUUUUUUUUUUUUUUUUAAAGAAAAACAAAUCACUAAAAGAAAAAAAAUAAGUAAAUAAGAAAUCAUUACCAACCCCAAAAUGACCAAUCCGGAAACACAAUAUCCAAACUGCGAUCGUCAGAACAAUAUCGAAACAAAGGAGGUGGGCUGGCAUUUGGGCCUUGGAACUUCUCCGAUGGUACAACUGGCCUAUCAUCACAAUCAAACAUCAAUUCCAAAUCAGGCAAUCUUCCAGGGUACAACCUCAGAAGCUGCAUUAUUCCCCACAAACUGAACUCAUCUCUGCUCUGUAUCGAUUUUCUAUACUUUUCUACAUAGGCUUUCCCCUCCACAAUCACAAGCCUAAAAUGCGCAGUCCUUUUCGCCCGUUCGAUGAUGUCCUUUGUGAUUCCUUUCUCUCUCCAGGGCCGUAGAUCUUCAUGAAUCCAUCGGUAAUACUCUGGACAGGAGUUACUUGAUGGACGCUCAGGAUUUAGUGGGUUUUGUAUGGUUGAGUUGGGUUUUGGACAGUUGUGUGUGAGUUUUGUCGGAGUACGUCUAAGUAGAAAUUCCGGCUUUUUGGUUGUUGAGAUUGAAAAAACACUAAGCAAAGACUGAAAUGGAAAACAUCAUAAAUCAUUAGAAAUUAUGUAAGAAAUGGAUAUGCAUAGUCAGUCACUGAAAGUUCUUGCGUGUAGAAAAACUUACAGUGUUAAAACAACCAACAAACACCAAGACAACGAGGAAGAAGAAGAUAAAGAAGACAAGAAAAUUAGUAGUUGCAUCUUUAUUGUUCAGCGGCCAUCUACGUGUCGUUGUUGAAUGUCUAAGAAAGCUAGAACUCGAAUGGAAGAAACUGUGAAGAUUUCCCAUUCUUCCACUUCAUGCUUCUGCCUUCUGCUGCUGGUAUUUUCUUUUUCUGGAUCUAAUUCUAUUGCCUGACACGCAGACUGCAAGUUGUAUAUAUCACUAUCAACGACCCAUAGAAAUGUUUACAAUUGACUUCUCCUUUUCAUUUAUAGCCAAAUAUAAACACAUCACAUUUUCUUUUCUUUUUCUUUUAUGGGAGAAAGAAUAUUAUAUUAGCAACUAGCAAGAAAGUUGUUCUUUUACCAUAAGAGCUUCUAUAUAGCUAUAGCUAAAGAAAGCUUAAACCAAACUUGAAUAUUACAGUGAGAAUAAGAUACUGAUGCCAAAGCAUAAGAACGUUAUUCGCUUACCUCCCAAUACAGUAGACUGAAACAUAGUCGCUGUUUAAAAUUAAAAUAUCACAUUUUCUUUUCAGAAGAAAUAAUGUUUUAUAAUAUAAUUUCUAUUCUAUCCCUAGUUAAUAUGUAUCUGUGUAUAAAUAUACUACUAUACUAUUAGUCAAAAAAACUUUACCACAAAAUUGCCAAUCUUUAAUUUUGGUUGCUUUGAUUCUCAUAUUUAAAAUAUAUAUAUAUAUAUAUAUAUUUUUUUUUUGAUUAAUUUUUUUUUAAAAAAAAUUAAUAAUGGAUUAUUUAAUUUCAAUAAAGUAAUAUAAAUAAUCUUUUAUUUUUUGUUAUUUUUCCCUGGAUAUUUUCACACCAUUUUUAUAUAUGAGACUAAUUUUAAGUUGGAGUUUAUGGUUACCUCUCUACAUAAAUUUUAACUUUUCACAAAACAAUUAAGGAAAAUAAAUUAAUAGGACAGGCUAAUUGGACUGUCUUGACUAUACAGAAUUUUUUACUUUAACUCAGAUUGAUGUGAUGGGAAUGUCGUUUUGUAUGGAUAUUCUUUUUUAUAUAAAGAUAAAUUAUUCUAUAUUAAAAUAUUCCUCAAGAUAUUUUUCAUUAUUUGUUUAUUUAUUAAAACUCAACCACUGAUUAAUCUAUCAAUAUUUUAUUUAUCCAAAGGAAAUGGCAGUGUGCAAGUUGCGUUGACCCGGAGACCUUAACAAGCCUCCAGUAGGCGGUAGGCAAUGGGGUCCACAGCUUUAAAAUUAGCUCCAUGGAUUGAGGCGGACGGAAAGUGGAACCAUAGCCACAUAUUACAUAAAAAGACGACAAUUGACGCAAUUAAUUUCCAGUCGUUUCGGAUAAGAUCAAGCAUGCGUACGUAAAAAUAUUAAUACUUUGGUUGCAAAUAUAUUAAAAUAACAAUUAAAGUCUCACGCGUCCUUUUUCAUAUUAAGAAUUCCACAUUGUUAUAAUAAUUCCACAAAGGACAUAAAAAGAUAGAAACUCAUAAUAAUUAGUAACCAUUUGAUUUAUUAGCAGCAGUUAUCAUCAAACUAAAUAAAACAGUACUGAACUACAAAUACAAGCCUUGUUUACAAUUACAACACCACAACCGAGUUCUCUGAUUCCGUUCAUUCACUGUUCAACCAUCAUGCGCCUCAAGUCGAUCACUGAAGAUCGAACAUAAAAUAAUCCUAACUGGGAGAAGGGUAGGAUUAGGAUCCACCAAAUGUUAGGACAAUAGCUAGUUGAGUCCAUAAACAAAAACGACCAGCUCGCCAACUCAAAAGUCUAAUGGGUAAGCAGCACAAAUGGUGAAGCUGUGGUCAGAACACCCGAGGUUGCAAGUAUAUUACCUCAAAAUGCAGAAGGCCUCCAAGUCUAUUGAUUUCAAUGGCCAGUUGUUAAAAGGUGGACUUCCUUUAAAAGUUCUUGAAUUUAAACUGUAUGCCUCAGCAUUAUUCUGCAAAGAAAUUAAGCUAAUAAUAUUAGUGAGACAACAAUUUUAUAUUCAUUCACAGUUAGCAUCAACACAUUGUCCAUGGUUAAUCUAGAAGAUUUUUAAAUUACAAUUCCUCAUUCACUCAAAUAUUCCCAAAAAGAUAUUAGAGCUUGUCCAUAACUGACUCAGGUGAAAUGAUAAACUGGUAU